Molecule: ribosomal RNA, 745 nt
Filed under: uncultured Mycobacterium sp.
Lineage: Bacteria; Bacillati; Actinomycetota; Actinomycetes; Mycobacteriales; Mycobacteriaceae
Description: bacterial SSU rRNA
Rfam family: Bacterial small subunit ribosomal RNA
Source: RNAcentral
GGGCGUAAAGAGCUCGUAGGUGGUUUGUCGCGUUGUUCGUGAAAUCUCACGGCUUAACUGUGAGCGUGCGGGCGAUACGGGCAGACUUGAGUACUGCAGGGGAGACUGGAAUUCCUGGUGUAGCGGUGGAAUGCGCAGAUAUCAGGAGGAACACCGGUGGCGAAGGCGGGUCUCUGGGCAGUAACUGACGCUGAGGAGCGAAAGCGUGGGGAGCGAACAGGAUUAGAUACCCUGGUAGUCCACGCCGUAAACGGUGGGUACUAGGUGUGGGUUUCCUUCCUUGGGAUCCGUGCCGUAGCUAACGCAUUAAGUACCCCGCCUGGGGAGUACGGCCGCAAGGCUAAAACUCAAAGAAAUUGACGGGGGCCCGCACAAGCGGCGGAGCAUGUGGAUUAAUUCGAUGCAACGCGAAGAACCUUACCUGGGUUUGACAUGCACAGGACGCCGGCAGAGAUGUCGGUUCCCUUGUGGCCUGUGUGCAGGUGGUGCAUGGCUGUCGUCAGCUCGUGUCGUGAGAUGUUGGGUUAAGUCCCGCAACGAGCGCAACCCUUGUCUCAUGUUGCCAGCGGGUAAUGCCGGGGACUCGUGAGAGACUGCCGGGGUCAACUCGGAGGAAGGUGGGGAUGACGUCAAGUCAUCAUGCCCCUUAUGUCCAGGGCUUCACACAUGCUACAAUGGCCGGUACAAAGGGCUGCGAUGCCGCGAGGUUAAGCGAAUCCUUUUAAAGCCGGUCUCAGUUCGGAUC